Mycena capillaripes is the source of this 95-nucleotide non-coding RNA. NCBI's taxonomy places the organism in Eukaryota, Fungi, Basidiomycota, Agaricomycetes, Agaricales, Mycenaceae. The record is from the annotation of a GenBank genome assembly.
GGCAGUAUGGUGUAAAGUUGCACGCGGGAUUCCUUUCGGGGUUCCGGAUUAAAGCAUGAAUUCCCGAGGACCUUGUUCGAAUCAAGGUGCUGCUC